UACAGAGGGUGCGAGCGUUAAUCGGAAUUACUGGGCGUAAAGCGCACGCAGGUGGCUGAGUCAGUCGAUUGUGAAAGCCCUGGGCUUAACCUGGGAAUUGCAGUCGAUACUACUCAGCUAGAGUAUGGGAGAGGGUAGUGGAAUUCCCGAUGUAGCGGUGAAAUGCGUAGAUAUCGGGAGGAACAUCAGUGGCGAAGGCGACUACCUGGCCCAAUACUGACACUCAGGUGCGACAGCGUGGAGAGCAAACAGGG
RNAcentral lists this ribosomal RNA (254 nucleotides) under uncultured bacterium. RNAcentral describes it as "partial 16S ribosomal RNA". It matches the Rfam family "Bacterial small subunit ribosomal RNA", at positions 524 to 777 of the family's 1533-position model. The record is from RNAcentral.